Molecule: long non-coding RNA, 3298 nt
Filed under: Homo sapiens (human)
Lineage: Eukaryota; Metazoa; Chordata; Mammalia; Primates; Hominidae
Description: long non-coding RNA NONHSAT144842.2
Source: RNAcentral
UCCCUGAAACACCCAGCAGAAACCCUGGUACCUGUCCCCUGAAGCAGGAAGAUGAGCCCUUCUGGGACAGGCUGACCCUGCCUCAGAGUCUCAGUCCCACCAGCAACCUCCCCCCGGCCAUUCCCACACCCUCGCCCACCAGGCCACCUGCGGCUUCCAGGACUUACACGGCAGCGUACAGGCCCCCGACAGCGGAGUGGAUGAAUCCUCGCACGAUUGUGUGCAGGAUGAAGGAGAGGAUCUGGGGGAGGAAAAGGCGACUGUGGGCAUAAGGCCUUAAGGGACCGUCCCCUCAGCCCCCGCCCUCCAAUUCCUGGGGGCCCUCACCCCAGGGGCAGUGUCAGCCUGGAGUUGGAUCAACCCCAUCCUCCGGAGCCAAUUGUGAAUUUUCAGAAAUUUUGCAAGCCAGUCGUUAACACAGUCAUUUUUUGUUUGUUUGUUUGUUUUGUUUUUUGUUUUGUUUGAGAAGAAGUCUUGCUUUGUCGCCCAGGCUGGAGUGCAGUGGCGUGAUCUUGGCUCACUGCAAGCUUCGCCUCCUGGAUUCAAGCAAUUCUCCUGCCUCAGCCUUCGGAGUAGCUAGGAUUACAGGCCCACGCCACCAUGCCCGGCUAAUUUUUGUAUUUUUUAAGCAGAGAUGGGGUUUCACCAUGUUGGCCCGGCUGGUCUCAAACUCAUGACGUUGUGAUCCACCCGCCUCAGCCUCCCAAAAUGAUGGGAUUACAGGCAUGAGCCACUGCGCCCAGCCUAACCGAGUCAUUAUUAAAAAUUAAAUUAUAGGCUGGGCAAGGUGGCUCACGCCCGUAAUCCCAGUGCUUUGGGAGGCCGAGGAGGUGGAUCACCUGAGGUCAGGAGUUCGAAACCAGCCUGGCCAACAUGGCGAAACCCUGUCUUUACUAAAAAUACAAAAAAUUAGCUGGGCGUGGUGGUGGGCACCUGUAAUCUCAGCUGCUUGGGAAGUUGAGGCAGGAGAAUCGCUUGAACCAAGAGGUGGAGGUUGCAGUGAGCUGAGAUCACGGCAUUGCACUCCAGCCUGGUGACAAAGUGAGACUCUGUCUCAAAAAAAAAAAAUAAUAAUAAUAAUAAUAAUUAAAUUAUAAGCCGAGAAUGGUGGCUCACACCUGUAGUCCCAGCACUUUGGGAGGCUGAGGUGGGUGGAUCAUAUGAGGUCAGGAGUUUGAGAUCAGCCUGGCCAACACAGUGAAACCCCAUCUUUACUAAAAAUACAAAAAUUAGCCGGGUGUGGUGGCGGGCGCCUGUAUUCCCAGCUACUCAGGAGGGUGAGGCAGGAGAAUCGCUUGAACCGGGGAGGCGGAGGUUGCGGUGAGCCGAGAUAGCACCACUGCACUCCAGCCUGGGUGACAGAGCUAGACUCUGUCUCAAAAAAAAAAAAAUUACAUAAAUUUAUGACUAAAUAAAUAAAUUAUAUUAAAGUAAAGGUAAUGAAUACUCAAAACUCUGAAAACUCAUCACUUCCUGGCCUGGUGCAGUGGCUCACACCUGUAAUCCCCACACUCUGGGAGGCCUGGGAGGAUCACUUGAGCCCAGGAGUUCCAGACCAGCCUGGGCAACAUGUCAAGACCCCAUCUCUGCAAAAAAAUAUAAAAAUUAACUGGGCUUGGUGGUACGUGCCCGUAGUCCCAGCUACUCAGGAGGCUGAGGUGGGAGGAUCACCUGAGCUCGGGAAGUCAAGGCUGCAGUGAGCCAAGAUCCCACCACUGCACUCGAGCCUGGCUGAUGGGAGUGAGACCCUGUCUCAAAAAAAAACAAAAUGAACGAACAAAACCAUGGAAAACCUCAUCCCUUCCUAAUUAUUUUACUUGGUUCACUAGAGCCUGUGCACGCAUCAGGCUUUCCUUUUUUUUUUUUUGGAGACAGAGUCUUGCUGUGUAGCCCAGGCUGGAAUGCAGUGGCACGGCUCACUGCAAGCUCCGCCUCCUGGAUUCAAGCAAUUCUCCUGCCUCAGCCUCCCUAGUAGCUGGGAUUACAGGUGCAUGCCACCAAGCCCGGCUAAUUUUUGUAUUUUUUGUAGAGACGGGGUUUCACUAGGCUGGUCUCGAACUCCUGACCUCAGGUGAUCCACCCGCGUUGGCCUCCCAAAGUGCUGGGAUUACAGGCGUGAGCCACCGUGCCCGGCCAGGCUUUUCACAUCUACUGUAGAAAUACCACGUGUCACUGUGACUCUCCAGUUCCACAGUCAGUGGCAACACAUGGGCAGCUGGAAAUCAGCCACGGUGAGUGCAUGUGCACCGUGGAAGUCGGCAAACACUAGAACCAGGGCCCUGCUGACAGACGUGUAUGGGCACAGCACUGAGCAAGAGGUUGCUGACCACGGCCUCGAGCUGCCUUUGCCCACCUCGGACUGUGCUCCAGGCACCCGGCCCUCCCAGCAGGUGGCUGCCCUCUCACCUCCCUCGUGAAGUGUUUCUUCGCUUUUUGUUUUGUUUUCUUUUUGUGGUUUGUUCUGUUUUGUUUGGUUUUGUUUUGGGACGGUCUCGCUCUACACCCCAGGCUGGAGUGCAGUGGUGUGGUCUCGGCUCACUGCAACCUCUGUCUCCUGGGUUCAAGCGAUUGUUCUCCCUCAGCCUCCUGAGUAGCUGGGAUUACAGGCAUGUGCCACCAGGCCCGGCUAAUUUUUUUUUUUUUUUUUUUGAGACAAGGUCUCCCCUCGACUGGACAAGGCGGUUAGGGCAAAGGUCUGCCAGUCUUGCAGAGAAAGCAGCCCAGGAGGCCAGGGAGGGCCGGAGGGAUGCAGCACCCCCUGGGGCCGUCCUAACUGUGCGGCCCUAGGCAAACUACUGCAAGUCCCAGCCUCAGCUCAUGGGGACGCCUGGCAGACAGCCCUGGAGCAGGGACUGGGCACCAGCUGGGAAGGGGCUGGUCCCCACAGGCUCUUCUGGGGUCUGCCCCAGAACCCCCUGUCACUAUGGGUCUUGCGAGGAGCCCGGAGACCUUAACUCUGAAGUUGAGGAUGGAGCACGGGGCAGGUCACCUUCUUCUCGGUUCCAAAUCCCCUGCUUGUUUCUAAGAAACAGCUAAUGAAACCCAGAGUGUCACAAUGGCCUUCCCAGAGCUCCAGGAAGUCGCUAUAACUUGGGAACUCCUGUGACGGAGGCUAAGUGACGGGCCGUUAGUUUCUGUCUCUAGAAAUAGCCCAGAACGGCUGGGCGCGGUGGCUCAUGCCUGUAAUCCCAGCACUUUGGGAGCCCGAGGUGGGCGGAUCACGAGGUCAGGAGUUCGAGACCAGACUGACCAACACAGUGAAACCCCGUCUCUACUAAAAAUACAAAAACUAGCUGGG